Molecule: ribosomal RNA, 491 nt
Filed under: uncultured bacterium
Lineage: Bacteria
Description: bacterial SSU rRNA
Rfam family: Bacterial small subunit ribosomal RNA
Source: RNAcentral
AGCGAACGUUUGCGGCGGGCCUAACACAUGCAAGUCGAACGCACUAGCAAUAGUGAGUGGCGCACGGGUGCGUAACACGUGGGUAAUCAACCCUUCAGCUUGGGAUAACGACUUGAAAGGGUCGCUAAUACCGGAUACGGCGCGGGAGGCUUCGGCUUCUCACGAGAAAGCCUCGCAAGGGGCACUGAAGGACGAGCCUGCGGCCCAUCAGCUAGUUGGUGAGGUAAGAGCUCACCAAGGCGAAGACGGGUAGCUGGUCUGAGAGGAUGAUCAGCCACACUGGAACUGAGACACGGUCCAGACUCCUACGGGAGGCAGCAGUGGGGAAUAUUGCGCAAUGGGCGAAAGCCUGACGCAGCCACGCCGCGUGAGCGAUGAAGGCCUUCGGGUCGUAAAGCUCUGUGGGGAGGAAAUUGCAUGGGCUAAUACCCUGUGUAGAUGACGGUACCUGGAGAAGAAGCACCGGCUAACUACGUGCCAGCAGCCGCGGU